CUUUCCUGCUGUUCUUCUGAAGGGGCCCGGCAAGAAUUUCCCUGUCUCUUUUAUCUUCCUGAUAAAACUUCCUUCCCAUAUACCAUGAGGUGAGCAGCUCCAGAGCAAAAGGGGCAAGAAGUCACAGACUGGAAACCAUGAGAUAAAUAUUUGCUAGAGGUCCACAGUCCACAGUUCCGCCACUUCCGGAUACUCUGUGCUGUCCAGUUGGGUCAAGUUGAGAGUCAAGAUAAACCAUCAGAGUCAUGCUGCUCAGACUCAGGCUCGCCUGACAUCACAUCUCAGCAAAAUUUCUCCCUGAAGUACAAAGAUGCUGUAGUGGACGCAAGCCACUGUAGCCAAUGAAGAGCAGAGACACUGGAAACACGCAGACUUCCGCCUGAGAAAGUCUUCACCCUGGGGACAAAACUACUUAAUCUGUCCCUUAGUGCCUUCAGUUUGAUGAACAGUGACCAAGAGUCAAUACGGAAAAACCAUUACAGUAACUGUGAGACAUCUGUAGAGAGAUUACUGGUAACAAGUUCUUUAUGUGGUCUAACGAAUUAUCUAGGUUAAAUUCAAGCCCAUAAUCUGGAGUGUGAAAAGCUGCCUGGGCCUGCUCAGUCCCCAUCCGAGGCUGUGCAGACUUUCUUGGCUCUGCAGGGAGUCUGGAGGUGAGGCUGACAAGGGCUGGAGGGAGCAAGGCCAUCCUCACCCUUUCCUUCAUGCUCAGUGUCUGCUCAGAGAGAGGGGAUUUGUCCACUUCAUCACAAACAGCAAGAUUUCCUUCUUUUAUGUCUGAAAACAUCCCAGUGCUGGUGAAUGAAUGCCAUCAUGUUUUCACCCACCGAUACAUAUUUCAGUAUUUCCCAUCUCAGCUGCCAUGAAUAUGACUUCAAAGGAAAUCAGUGCAGAUACUUCCAUCAUAUGACUCAUACACUCUCCUUGGCCGUGCAAUCGGAGCAGGACUGCCUAGCCAGAGGUCCUAUUUUUUCUAAUAUUUUUAUUUUAUCUUAGAAGCACUCUUAAUAAUGUAUCAAUCCCCCCAUUUCCUCACCUUCCCAUUCUCCAAAACUCCCCACCAAACCCCCA
Long non-coding RNA from Mesocricetus auratus (golden hamster), 1071 nucleotides. RefSeq lists it as uncharacterized. The record is from RefSeq and is a predicted model, not a curated record. The transcript has 4 exons. Lineage: Eukaryota; Metazoa; Chordata; Mammalia; Rodentia; Cricetidae.